This 1415-nucleotide unclassified non-coding RNA is filed under the name Hevea brasiliensis (rubber tree). The record is from RNAcentral. Lineage: Eukaryota; Viridiplantae; Streptophyta; Magnoliopsida; Malpighiales; Euphorbiaceae.
AGGAGAGAAAAGGAGCUUGUCAAGGUGAGGUUGAUAAUUUCUUGUAUUCCAUAGCUCUUUAUUCUCAGAGUAUCUAUCAUUCAUUGAACUCACUGGAUGUGGAACAUUCAGUUAGGAGCUAAAAAGGAAAAUAGUGGAGAAAGUAAGUAUGUAUAUCAGUGAGUGUUUCUUCCACUUAAUAAUUUAGUCCUUUGGGAUUAUGCGAGCUCAAUGAACAGCAAGGAUGAGGCAGACUUUGAGUCCAGUGAUGACUUUCCAAAGGCCAAAUAGUAGAGAAUUAGAUUGUAAAAUUGCAGGUUAAUGGCCUUACUUGUUGCCUACUUAUCUGUGCCUGAGUGAAUUGCUUAUAUAUCUAUAGGGGGUUUUGGGUUUUGUGAACUCGUCAAGUUUUCUGCACUUACUGAUAUUUAUGGACAUAUCUAGAUGAUGAUGUAGUGCUUGGGGAGUGUUUCUCUUAAUAGGUGUGGCAUCAGAAUUAAGGAAUCUGGCGUUUGCUGCACUGUUCUUUGGGUUCAGGUAGAGAAUCUGAAUCCUCAUAAAUUGGGCAACAAAUGGAGCAAGUAUGAGUCCUUGUAAAAGGUGGAGUUGAGUUCAAGUCUUUACUAUAUUUUUAGUUGGCUCUAAAUCAAACAGAACUAGAGAUCCUUAUUUUUUUCCUCCUUUAUGUGAUCUCUUUUAUCAUUGCAAAUGUUUUUAUCUUGUUAUGUGGAACUUCACUUCACAGUCAGCUCAUUAUAUUGCAAAACAAACUAAUUGUAUAUGAAUGUUAUUAUUUUUAUGGAAAAACCUGAAUCCUGACAAGUCUUUAGCUGAGUUGUAAUGCAAGUGUUGGACAAAAAAAACACCAAAAGACAUCCAUUAUACAGGUAGGAUAGUCUCUUUUGGUAGCCAAUAAAAGCAGGUCAUUACAACCAAGAUCUGCUUAAUUUAUGGAGUUAAAAUGUUUAACAAAUAUGCGCAAAGAGCAAGAAUGUCAGAUGAAUAACUUUCUUGUGUGCGACUCAUUCAUUGAAAGCAGUUUCUCUUUUGGCAACAUAGAAGUUAGGAUUUCUUAGAAAUUAUUUUCUUUGUGCAUAUUCAUCUGAUAGUAUUUAGAAGAUAUGGGAGAAGGUGAAUUGGUGAGUGUUAAUAUCCCACGUUGGUCUGGGAUAGGUGUAAUAUGCUUCUUAUAAAACCUUGGACUCUCCUCUCUCCUGGAGUUAGCUUUUGGGGGUGAGUUAGGUCCCAUCCAUUUUCUUAAGAGUGAGGAUUGCAAGAUAUUAUCGAUUGGCAUUCCUUUUGUUAAGCCGUAAGUAGAAUGUUGAGGUGUGCCUAAGCACUUUUCUUCAGAUUAUUAAAUCAACAGACAGGAUACUGUACUAAUACUGCAUCAUCAAUAUUUCUUAAUUGGCAGCCCCCUCGACGAUCUCUGGAUG